Molecule: ribosomal RNA, 1500 nt
Filed under: Acinetobacter rhizosphaerae
Lineage: Bacteria; Pseudomonadati; Pseudomonadota; Gammaproteobacteria; Moraxellales; Moraxellaceae
Description: bacterial SSU rRNA
Rfam family: Bacterial small subunit ribosomal RNA
Source: RNAcentral
AGAGUUUGAUCCUGGCUCAGAUUGAACGCUGGCGGCAGGCUUAACACAUGCAAGUCGAGCGGAGUGAUGGUGCUUGCACUAUCACUUAGCGGCGGACGGGUGAGUAAUGCUUAGGAAUCUGCCUAUUAGUGGGGGACAACAUUUCGAAAGGAAUGCUAAUACCGCAUACGUCCUACGGGAGAAAGCAGGGGAUCUUCGGACCUUGCGCUAAUAGAUGAGCCUAAGUCGGAUUAGCUAGUUGGUGGGGUAAAGGCCUACCAAGGCGACGAUCUGUAGCGGGUCUGAGAGGAUGAUCCGCCACACUGGGACUGAGACACGGCCCAGACUCCUACGGGAGGCAGCAGUGGGGAAUAUUGGACAAUGGGCGCAAGCCUGAUCCAGCCAUGCCGCGUGUGUGAAGAAGGCCUUAUGGUUGUAAAGCACUUUAAGCGAGGAGGAGGCUACUGAAGUUAAUACCUUCAGAUAGUGGACGUUACUCGCAGAAUAAGCACCGGCUAACUCUGUGCCAGCAGCCGCGGUAAUACAGAGGGUGCAAGCGUUAAUCGGAUUUACUGGGCGUAAAGCGCGCGUAGGCGGCUAAUUAAGUCAAAUGUGAAAUCCCCGAGCUUAACUUGGGAAUUGCAUUCGAUACUGGUUAGCUAGAGUGUGGGAGAGGAUGGUAGAAUUCCAGGUGUAGCGGUGAAAUGCGUAGAGAUCUGGAGGAAUACCGAUGGCGAAGGCAGCCAUCUGGCCUAACACUGACGCUGAGGUGCGAAAGCAUGGGGAGCAAACAGGAUUAGAUACCCUGGUAGUCCAUGCCGUAAACGAUGUCUACUAGCCGUUGGGGCCUUUGAGGCUUUAGUGGCGCAGCUAACGCGAUAAGUAGACCGCCUGGGGAGUACGGUCGCAAGACUAAAACUCAAAUGAAUUGACGGGGGCCCGCACAAGCGGUGGAGCAUGUGGUUUAAUUCGAUGCAACGCGAAGAACCUUACCUGGCCUUGACAUAGUAAGAACUUUCCAGAGAUGGAUUGGUGCCUUCGGGAACUUACAUACAGGUGCUGCAUGGCUGUCGUCAGCUCGUGUCGUGAGAUGUUGGGUUAAGUCCCGCAACGAGCGCAACCCUUUUCCUUAUUUGCCAGCGAGUAAUGUCGGGAACUUUAAGGAUACUGCCAGUGACAAACUGGAGGAAGGCGGGGACGACGUCAAGUCAUCAUGGCCCUUACGGCCAGGGCUACACACGUGCUACAAUGGUCGGUACAAAGGGUUGCUACCUAGCGAUAGGAUGCUAAUCUCAAAAAGCCGAUCGUAGUCCGGAUUGGAGUCUGCAACUCGAUUCCAUGAAGUCGGAAUCGCUAGUAAUCGCGGAUCAGAAUGCCGCGGUGAAUACGUUCCCGGGCCUUGUACACACCGCCCGUCACACCAUGGGAGUUUGUUGCACCAGAAGUAGGUAGUCUAACCGCAAGGAGGACGCUUACCACGGUGUGGCCGAUGACUGGGGUGAAGUCGUAACAAGGUAGCCG